This is a long non-coding RNA of Callithrix jacchus (white-tufted-ear marmoset), 5992 nucleotides long. RefSeq lists it as uncharacterized. NCBI's taxonomy places the organism in Eukaryota, Metazoa, Chordata, Mammalia, Primates, Cebidae. The record is from RefSeq and is a predicted model, not a curated record.
AUCUGGCACUUUAAAACAAGCAAAAUGAAAUCCUUUUCUUUUACAAUUAUAUAAAGCUAACUUACGAAUCAGGAAGUUACCCUGCAAAUCAUCUCAUCUACUAUUUUUAUAAAUGAGAUGACUGAUGUCUCGGGGCACCAGUGGAACUUGGUUGUGGUCAAAAGCUGACGAGUAUAGCAGCCUGGAUCUGCCCCAUGAUGCCUGGACUUGGGCUUCUCCACCCUUUUGUGUCUGAAAAUUCAUCAUGGAGACUACUGAAGUAGAAUCAAGACCUGCUGGAAAAAUAACCAUGUGUUGAACCGGGAAGCCAUACAGAAGCCAAAGAACUUCAUAUUGUCACCUGCAUAUUGUAAAUGAUGUUCUGAUUGGAGCUACCAAGGGCCCUAGAAGCAGAAAGUACCAUCAGUCCCAAGCUUUGUUCUGCAUAGGAACAGGUGUUAUGAAGUAUUGAAUGGAGAAAUCUCAGCUGCCCCACAGAGGGCCCCAUGGAAGAAGAAAAUUUUAAAUAUGCCAAGCUCCAGAGUUAUCCUUCCUCUCUACAGAGUUUGUAACCCCAGGUUAGCAAUACUGAAGGUGUUGCUAUGGCUACCGCUAUACUGUGACUUCAGGUGGUGAGAAAGCUGCAGGAGGCAGAGUCUGUGCUUUCAUGCAGAUGUCCUCAAGACAGCAGAGAAGGAAGGCUAUCCUAUGGAAUAGUUGACAUUUCCUCAUUUUACAGAGAUGAUAAUAAUGACCUAAGCAAACAGAUUGAAAUAGACCUGAAAGCAAAAGUUGUUCCAUAAUUUAUGAGCUCCUAGGAUCUAUGAAGAAUCUAUAAUUAAGAGAAACGUUACUAUUAAGACCGAUGGAUAAACUCAGAUUGCAUUAGAUGCAAAAGAAUCUUGAGUCUUAAUUAACAAAAAGCUAAUAUCCAGAAGGAAACUGUGUGGAGAUCUAACAACACAGCUGAUGGUCAAAUUCAGAUCUGGCUGGUCAUCAAUCAUGGCUCCAUGCCCCACUAAUGCUGAAGAAGUUGUAAGAAUGACAUUAAUUUUCAAGUUGAAAGAACAUUUAAACAAACUAUAUAUUUUUUGUUCAUAGAGACACAAUUACUUGCUAUCUUUAAAUUGCACCUGUAAGAAAAACACCAAAACUGCUCUGAUUCUUGUUUUCAUCUUUCACAGUCUUCUUAUGUUGUCUAAUAUAUAAAUCCACAAUUUAAAAGAUCUUUCAGGUUGCUGAGAAAAUAGUUGAAAUUGAGAAACUGGAUGCUGUGACUGAAGAGUGCAAAAAACUAGACAAAAUUGAAAUUUUUCAAUUUAUGAGAGCAAGUCUGUGUAAAGGACUGUGAAAGGCCAAUUGAAAAUGUUUUUCCUACAGGGGAAGAAAACAAUCAGAAUGACAUGGGUACAACUGUUAACCUUUACAAUUUGUAACAAAGGCAAAAAAGUCUCAUUUGGUAUAAAAUUGUCCAAUUAAUAUUUCAUUAACUUGCGAAAAAAAAAGAAAAGAAGGGAGGAGGCAGGAAAGAUAGCUCAUAAGAAAAAUAUUACAAUAUGGAAGUAUCAAAGCAGAAACUGAAAGUAUGUCACUACCUUACCUUUCUCUGCCUCGAAAGAAAAUCUGUGUAAUAGUUGGAUAUUAAUAUGUUUAACUUGCAUAGUGUAAAUUUACAUUUUAUACAAUAUAACUGAUAUAUGUUCCAAAUAUAAUAUGCUAUUUAUUUUCCGUUUUUCAUUACACAAAAAUAGGCUCACAACAUAGAUAUGAUUCCCUAAAUUUUAUUUUUUUUAUUUUUAAAAUGUAUCAUGGACUUUUGCUGGUGGCAAGAAAAAGUCAAUAUACUUUUCCCUAUUCUCCUAUUACAUACAACUAAAAACACUGUAUUUGUAUAAAAGGCAACAUAAGGAGACUGAAAGAUGGAAAUAAGAAUGAAGACUGGCCAGGCACAGUGGCUCUCACCUGUAAUCCCAGAAAUUUGGGAGACAAAGGCGGGUAGAUCACUUGAGGUCAGGAGUUCAAGAACAGCCUGGUCAACAUGUGGAAACCCAGCCUUUUCUAAAAAUACAAAAAUUAGAUGGGUGUGGUGGCAAGCUCCCGUAAUCCCAGCUACUGGGGAGGCUGAGGCAGGAGAAUUGCUUGAACUUGAGAGGCGAAGGCUGCAGUGGGCUCAGAUCACGCCAUUGCACUCCAGCCUGGGUGACAGAGCAAGACUCCAGAAGAAAGAAUAAGAAGGAAAAGGAGAAGGAGAAAGAAUAAGAAGGCAGGCUGAUUAGGGACUUCAGGAUCCAAAGGCCAACGUGGUGGUUUUCUCUGUAUGUUUGUUUUCUUUUGUCUCCUAUACCCUACACUCAAAGCAGAAGAAGCCAGUCAGCCCAGAAACCACAAAAGGCAUUGAGAAACAAAAGAAAACCUACUCUCUCUACCUAAAGUACCAGGAAAGGGACAGCACAAUGAGGAUGAAACCUUUCGACAAUAACUGUUGUACCUCAACAAAACACCACGGGAAAAAAACUGGUCACGCCCCAACCUUUGCCAGCCAAGACUAAAUGGGAAGCCUAUCCUUUCACUCUUGCAAGAUUGCAACGAAGCACCUCAACACCACCUCUGCACAUUUUACUUUGACAACUUAGAAAAAUGGACCAAUUCUUUGAAAAAUGCAAGCUAAUACAACUCAUUUAAUAUAAAAUAGAUAACUUGAUAGCCUACAGCAAUUAUGAAAAUUGAAUUUGUAACUAAAAAUCUCUCCCCAAAAGUCGCCAAGAUCAGAUAGUUUCACUGGAGAACUCAAGCAAAUGUUUAAGGAAAAAUUAACACCCAUUCUGUACAAAUUUUGCCAAAAAAUAGAGAGAAGACUUUCCAAUUAAUUUUAUGAAGCUGAUGCUAUACUAAUGUCACAACUGGACAAGGACAAUACUAAUAAAUAAAUAAAUACGAACUACAGAUCAAUAACUCUCAUGGAUAUAGAAGUAAACAUCUUUAAUAAAGCAGAAAUCAGUGAAAUAUAUAUGAAGACUAAAUGGGAUUUAUUUUCAGGAUGCAAAGAUGGUUCAAUAAGCAAAUAUCCACUAAUUUAAUCUACCAUAUUAACAGGCUAAAGAAGAAAAAAAUAACAUCAAUCAAUGCAGGAAAAAAAUCUGACAAAAUUUGACACUCAUUCAUGAUAAAAAUCUCUAAAAAAAAUAGGGAUACAGGAGAACACCUCAAUUUCAUAAAGAAGAUCUGCAAGAAAGCCAUCCUAUUAUUAUACUUAAUGGGAAAGACUGAAUGUUUCCUCCCUAAGCCUGUGAAAAAGUCAUACCUGCUUUCACCACCGUUAUUCAACCUAGUGCUUGAAUUUCUAGCCAGUGCAAUAGUAAAAUAAAAAGAAAUGAAAGAGGUACAAGUUAGACAGGAGGAAAUGAAACUAUUUCUAUUAGCAGAUAACAUAAUUACAUAUGUAAAAAAUCUCAAAGAUUCCACCAAAAAAAUAGAAAUGAAGUGAGUUCACUAAGUUCAUGGGAUACAAGAUAAGCAUACAAAAAUCUACUGUAUUUUUAUAUACCAUCGAUAAUCAUGUCGUUGUUGAAAUUACAAGCACAAUACCAUUUACAGUUUUCCUAAAAUUAUGGAAUACUUAGAGGUAAAUCCAACAAGACAUCAGGACUUACAUGCUUAAAACUACAAAGCAUUGAUUUGAAAAUAAAAUCACCAAAUUUCUAAAUAAAUAAAGAGAACAUACUGGGUCCAUGUAUUGUAACACUAUGCAGUACAGAUGUCAAUUCUUCCUCAAAUUGAUAGGUAGGUUUAGUGAACUCCCUACCAAACUUUCAGCAUGAUUUUUCUAUAUGUCUAUAAAAUUACUGAAAAAUUUACAUGGAAAGAACCAGGAACUACAAUCGUUGAAACAAUUGUGAAAAGAAUAAUAAAUUAAAGGCAUCAGCUUGUCCAAUUUCAAGACUUAUGAUAUGGCUAUAGCAGUCAAGGCUGUAUGACAUUGGCAGAGGCAUGGCCACAUAGACCAGUAGAAAAGGAAAGAAAACUCAUAAACACACACACACACACACACACACCCCUAAAUGUUUUUGAAAAAAGUGCAAAAGCAAUUUUGUUGCUUUGUUCAUUGGUGUUGCACAAAAUGAUCAGCAUAGGCAAAACAAACCUGGAGUUAAAUCUCACACCCAAAAAAAAUUAGCUCAAAAUCAAUCAUGGAUUUAAAUUUGAAACCUAAAACUACAAAACUUUUAGAAAAAGACAAGAGAAAACUUUGGAGACCUAGGUCUACCUAAAGCAUUCUUCACCUUGAAAUCAAAAGCAUGAUUCAUAAAAUUAAAAACUGCACUGUUUUAAACCAAUAAGAUUUACUAAAUUGAUAAACUGAACUUCAUUAAAUUUUUUAAAAUUUGUUCUAGGAAACUAUAUUAGGAUGAUUAUAAAGGAAGCUGCAGAGUGGGAAGAAAGACCACAUAAUUGACAAAGACUCACAUCUGGAGUAUAUAAAUAACUCAAAACUCAAUAGUAAAAACAAAUGCAAUUAUAUCAUGAGCAAAAAAUAUUGAGGCAUUUCACUGAAAAAGAUACAUAGAUGCAAAAAAAGUAUAUGAAGAAACAUUCAGUAUUAUUAACCAUUAAGGAAAUACAGAUAAAAACCAAACAAAUAUUACUAUACACCUCUCAAAAUGACUGAAAUAAAAAAUAAUACCCAGGCAAGGUGGCUCAUUCCUGUAAUCCCAGCACUUUGGGAGGCCAAGGCAGGUGGAUCAUUUGAGGUCAGGAGUUCGAGACCAGCCUGGCCAACAUGGUGAAAUUCAUCUAUACUAAAAAUAUGAAAAUUAGCCAGGUGUGGUGGUGGGCACCUGUAAUCCCCGCUACUCAGGAGGCUGAGACAAGAGAAUCACUUGAACCCGGGAGGCAGAGGUUGCAGUGAGCUGAGAUUGCCCCAUUGAACUCCAGCCUGGGUGACAAGAAACUCCAUCUCAAUAAUAAUAAUAAUAACCACCAAAUGCCAGCAAGGAUGUGGAGAAAUAAUCACUCAUACAUUUAUGGUGGGAAGAGAAAAUGGUAAAGCUACUCCAGGAAAAAAAAAUUCUCAGCAUUCUUACAAAAUUAAACAUGCAACUACCCUGCAACCCAGGAAAUGCACUCUUGGGCAUUUAAAUUAAAAAAAUUAAACCUGUGUUUGCACAAAACUUGUAUGUGAAUGUUUAUAGCAGCUUUCUUUGUACUAGCUCAAAACUAUAAAUAUCACCCUGACGUUCUUCAACAGGUGAUUGGUUAAAUAAAUUGGUAUAUCCAUGCUAUGAAAUACUACUCACCAAUAACAAGAAACAAGCUAUUAAAAUAUGCAACAAACUGGGGAAUUGCCAGAAAAAAUAAAUUAUGAUGAAUGAAAAAAAGCCAAUCCCAUACAUUUACAUGACACAGUGAAUUGUGUGUGUGUAUACACGAAUAUAUAUACUAUUUUGUAUAUGAAAUACCUCACAAAAUUAUAAAAUGGAGAACAAUUUAUUGGUUUCUAUGGGUUAAGAAGGGGUGAAGAUAAGAGGAAAGUGGGGAUGACCAUAGAAGGGCAGCAUGAGGGAGCCUUUUAAUGAUGGAGUGUUCUGAAUAUUGACUGUAUCAGUGUCAAUAUCCUGGCCAUGAAAUUGGACUAUAGUUUUGAAAGACGUUAUUGUUGGUAGAAACUGGGUAAAGGGUACAAACGAUCAUCUGUAUUGUUUUUGAUAACUAUAUGAACCUAAUAUUAUCUAAAAAUAAAAAGCUUAACCUUUAUUAAACUUAAAAUAAAUUAAUUAGUAGAAAGUAAUAAUCAAGAGAUUAAUUGUAUUAAAUUUGUCCAUAUCUUUCUGAGACAAGACCCAGAAAUGGAACUAUCUCUCACAUACACUUUCUCUCUCUUGCAGAAAGGCAUUCAGAUAUGCAUCAUAUAAGAUUUGCAAUAAUAUGUUAUAUUCCAUAUUUUCUUAAUUUCUCAUUUUUUCUUUUGUAUAACAUUAACAUCUUUGUAUAACAUUAAAAUUCUUCUGUUCAUUUU